UUUACUUCACUCUACACAUGUUAGCUAAAUCGUAGAAACGGUGGACCGGAACCCGGUGGUGGUGAUAAUCGGAGAGACCGGUUCAGGAAAGAGCACCCAGCUCUCUCAGAUUCUGCACCGCAGAGGCUAAACCAAGUCUGGAAUCAUCGGCGUCACUCAGCCUCGUCGAGUCACUGCAGUUUCAGUCGCCAGGUUGCUUUAAAGAUCAUCUCUAGCGCAUGGUCUGGAGUUGAGGAAACCACCGAAUGGGGUGUUAUAGCUAUAUAGGUGAAAAACUACACACGAAAUGCAAUAUGUUAAUCCCAUUAACUAAUAUGCAACAUGCCACUCGUGCAACAUGUAUGCUAGGGUAAAGUCACUAAUUCUGAGUGGUAUUUGCUUGAAUGAGCCCAUCUCUAAUCUGUGAAGCAUUGUCUUUCACAGCUCCCGGUUUGUGUGUGAUGACAAUGCACCAACUUCUUUCAUUGUGUCUAAAUAUUGAGUCACCAGAACCACGUCCAUGACAUCCUUUGACGCAGUCCCAGGUACAUUCACAGAGAAAACAAGCACACUGUCCCUCAGCAACUUCAAUGGUCUGAUGCUGCCAUGCUUUCCAUGCUCAGUCUCCCCUGGCAUGUUUUAUUUUCAGGAUUUUUUCUGCUUCAGCCUUCUCGUUAGCCACCACCUUCAUUCUUGCAGCUGUUUAAUCACAUGUAAAAGGUCAAUGACUGGUUAAUUAGUAUUCAAGGAAAAAGAAGUCAAGCUUACUCA
Quercus lobata is the source of this 750-nucleotide long non-coding RNA. RefSeq lists it as uncharacterized. The transcript has 2 exons. The record is from RefSeq and is a predicted model, not a curated record. NCBI's taxonomy places the organism in Eukaryota, Viridiplantae, Streptophyta, Magnoliopsida, Fagales, Fagaceae.